RNAcentral lists this ribosomal RNA (492 nucleotides) under uncultured bacterium. RNAcentral's name for it is "partial 16S ribosomal RNA". It matches the Rfam family "Bacterial small subunit ribosomal RNA", at positions 29 to 507 of the family's 1533-position model. The record is from RNAcentral.
AGUGAACGCUGGCGGUAGGCCUAACACAUGCAAGUCGGACGGCAGCACAGUAAGAGCUUGCUCUUACGGGUGGCGAGUGGCGGACGGGUGAGGAAUACAUCGGAAUCUACUUUUUCGUGGGGGAUAACGUAGGGAAACUUACGCUAAUACCGCAUACGACCUACGGGUGAAAGCAGGGGAUCUUCGGACCUUGCGCGAUUGAAUGAGCCGAUGUCGGAUUGGCUAGUUGGCGGGGUAAAGGCCCACCAAGGCGACGAUCCGUAGCUGGUCUGAGAGGAUGAUCAGCCACACUGGAACUGAGACACGGUCCAGACUCCUACGGGAGGCAGCAGUGGGGAAUAUUGGACAAUGGGCGCAAGCCUGAUCCAGCCAUACCGCGUGGGUGAAGAAGGCCUUCGGGUUGUAAAGCCCUUUUGUUGGGAAAGAAAAGCAGCAGGUUAAUACCCCGCUGUUCUGACGGUACCCAAAGAAUAAGCACCGGCUAACUUCGUG